CGGCCGCGCCGCGUGCCGGGGAACCGCGCGGCAGGCGGUCCCGUACCGAACGGAAAGG
Molecule: non-coding RNA, 58 nt
Organism: Halorubrum tebenquichense DSM 14210
Lineage: Archaea; Methanobacteriati; Methanobacteriota; Halobacteria; Halobacteriales; Haloferacaceae
Source: Rfam